Molecule: ribosomal RNA, 495 nt
Filed under: uncultured bacterium
Lineage: Bacteria
Description: partial 16S ribosomal RNA
Rfam family: Bacterial small subunit ribosomal RNA
Source: RNAcentral
GACGAACGCUGGCGGCGUGCCUAAUACAUGCAAGUAGAACGCUGAAGGAGGAGCUUGCUUCUCUGGAUGAGUUGCGAAUGGGUGAGUAACGCGUAGGUAACCUGCCUGGUAGCGGGGGAUAACUAUUGGAAACGAUAGCUAAUACCGCAUAAGAGUAGAUGUUGCAUGACAUUUGCUUAAAAGGUGCAAUUGCAUCACUACCAGAUGGACCUGCGUUGUAUUAGCUAGUUGGUGGGGUAACGGCUCACCAAGGCGACGAUACAUAGCCGACCUGAGAGGGUGAUCGGCCACACUGGGACUGAGACACGGCCCAGACUCCUACGGGAGGCAGCAGUAGGGAAUCUUCGGCAAUGGACGGAAGUCUGACCGAGCAACGCCGCGUGAGUGAAGAAGGGUUUCGGAUCGUAAAGCUCUGUUGUAAGAGAAGAACGAGUGUGAGAGUGGAAAGUUCACACUGUGACGGUAUCUUACCAGAAAGGGACGGCUAACUACGUG